This is a non-coding RNA of Flavobacterium sp. AED, 86 nucleotides long. The record is from Rfam. Lineage: Bacteria; Pseudomonadati; Bacteroidota; Flavobacteriia; Flavobacteriales; Flavobacteriaceae.
AUUUAUUUGCGUUAGGGAUGGGAACGGCAUCCUUUUUUGUGGUUUUUUCUACCACAAAAAAGAUAUAGUGUACAGCCCGACCCGAC